Molecule: ribosomal RNA, 498 nt
Filed under: uncultured bacterium
Lineage: Bacteria
Description: partial 16S ribosomal RNA
Rfam family: Bacterial small subunit ribosomal RNA
Source: RNAcentral
GAUGAACGCUGGCGGCGUGCCUAAUACAUGCAAGUCGAGCGAACGGACGAGAAGCUUGCUUCUCUGAUGUUAGCGGCGGACGGGUGAGUAACACGUGGAUAACCUACCUAUAAGACUGGGAUAACUUCGGGAAACCGGAGCUAAUACCGGAUAAUAUUUUGAACCGCAUGGUUCAAAAGUGAAAGACGGUCUUGCUGUCACUUAUAGAUGGAUCCGCGCUGCAUUAGCUAGUUGGUAAGGUAACGGCUUACCAAGGCAACGAUGCAUAGCCGACCUGAGAGGGGGGAGCGGCACACGGAGAAUGGGACCGGGCCCAAGCCACCGAGGGGGGGCACAAGUGGGGUAUCUUCCGCAGAGGGGGAAAACGGGAAGGAGAACCGCGGGGGGAGGGAUAAAGGUUUUGGGAUGUAAAAACUGUGUUAUGGGGGAAAAAAAUAUGUGAAAGUAACUGUGCACAUCUGGAGGAUACCAAAUAAGAAGACAAGGGGAACCACGGUG